This 129-nucleotide non-coding RNA is filed under the name Stackebrandtia nassauensis. RNAcentral's name for it is "FMN sequence". It matches the Rfam family "FMN riboswitch aptamer (RFN element)". From Rfam's summary of the family: The RFN element is a highly conserved domain that is found frequently in the 5'-untranslated regions of prokaryotic mRNAs that encode for flavin mononucleotide (FMN) biosynthesis and transport proteins. This element is a metabolite-dependent riboswitch that directly binds FMN in the absence of proteins. In Bacillus subtilis, the riboswitch most likely controls gene expression by causing premature transcription termination within the 5' untranslated region of the ribDEAHT operon and precluding access to the ribosome-binding site of ypaA mRNA. RNAcentral also lists the same sequence under 1 other name. Lineage: Bacteria; Bacillati; Actinomycetota; Actinomycetes; Glycomycetales; Glycomycetaceae. The record is from RNAcentral.
GCGCGCUGGCGGGGUCGGUGAAAUUCCGAGCCGGCGGUGAGAGCCCGCGACCCGUCCACAGCCGGUGGACGGUUGACUUCGGUGAAAUUCCGAGGCCGACGGUUAAAGUCCGGAUGGUAGUUAGCGCGC